UACGGAGGAUGCGAGCGUUAUCCGGAUUUAUUGGGUUUAAAGGGUGCGUAGGCGGACUGUCAAGUCAGCGGUAAAAUUGAGAGGCUCAACCUCUUCCCGCCGUUGAAACUGGUGGUCUUGAGUGGAUGAGAAGUACGCGGAAUGCGUGGUGUAGCGGUGAAAUGCAUAGAUAUCACGCAGAACUCCGAUUGCGAAGGCAGCGUACGGGCAUCCAACUGACGCUGAGGCACGAAAGCGUGGGGAUCAAACAGG
RNAcentral lists this ribosomal RNA (252 nucleotides) under uncultured bacterium. Its description in RNAcentral is "partial 16S ribosomal RNA". It matches the Rfam family "Bacterial small subunit ribosomal RNA", at positions 524 to 776 of the family's 1533-position model. The record is from RNAcentral.